GACGAACGCUGGCGGCGUGCUUAACACAUGCAAGUCGAACGGAAAGGCCCUGCUUGCAGGGUACUCGAGUGGCGAACGGGUGAGUAACACGUGGGUGAUCUGCCCUGCACUUCGGGAUAAGCUUGGGAAACUGGGUCUAAUACCGGAUAGGACCGCACUUUAGUGUGUGUGGUGGAAAGUUUUUUCGGUGUAGGAUGAGCUCGCGGCCUAUCAGCUUGUUGGUGGGGUAAUGGCCUACCAAGGCGGCGACGGGUAGCCGGCCUGAGAGGGUGUACGGCCACAUUGGGACUGAGAUACGGCCCAGACUCCUACGGGAGGCAGCAGUGGGGAAUAUUGCACAAUGGGCGCAAGCCUGAUGCAGCGACGCCGCGUGGGGGAAGAAGGCCUUCGGGUUGUAAACUCCUUUCGCUAGGGACGAAGCUUUUUGCGACGGUACCUAGAUAAGAAGCACCGGCUAACUACGUG
This 465-nucleotide ribosomal RNA is filed under the name uncultured bacterium. RNAcentral describes it as "partial 16S ribosomal RNA". It matches the Rfam family "Bacterial small subunit ribosomal RNA", at positions 28 to 507 of the family's 1533-position model. The record is from RNAcentral.